RNAcentral lists this transfer RNA (76 nucleotides) under Oscillatoriales cyanobacterium. RNAcentral's name for it is "tRNA-Asn". It matches the Rfam family "tRNA". Rfam says of the family: Transfer RNA (tRNA) molecules are approximately 80 nucleotides in length. Their secondary structure includes four short double-helical elements and three loops (D, anti-codon, and T loops). Lineage: Bacteria; Bacillati; Cyanobacteriota; Cyanophyceae; Oscillatoriales. The record is from RNAcentral. RNAcentral also lists the same sequence under 2 other names.
UGCCUCAUAGCUCAAUUGGUAGAGCUGCACGCUGUUAACGUGAUGGUUGUAGGUUCGAGUCCUACUGAGGCAGCCA